UACGAAGGGGGCUAGCGUUGUUCGGAAUCACUGGGCGUAAAGCGCACGUAGGCGGACAGGUAAGUCAGGGGUGAAAGCCCGGAGCUCAACUCCGGAAUAGCCCUUGAUACUGCUUGUCUUGAGACCGGGAGAGGAGAGUGGAAUUCCCAGUGUAGAGGUGAGAUUCGUAGAUAUUGGGAAGAACACCAGUGGCGAAGGCGGCUCUCUGGCCCGGUUCUGACGCUGAGGCGCGAAAGCCAGGGGAGCGAACGGG
Molecule: ribosomal RNA, 253 nt
Filed under: uncultured bacterium
Lineage: Bacteria
Description: partial 16S ribosomal RNA
Rfam family: Bacterial small subunit ribosomal RNA
Source: RNAcentral